This 443-nucleotide ribosomal RNA is filed under the name uncultured bacterium. Its description in RNAcentral is "partial 16S ribosomal RNA". It matches the Rfam family "Bacterial small subunit ribosomal RNA", at positions 338 to 795 of the family's 1533-position model. The record is from RNAcentral.
CCUACGGGAGGCAGCAGUGGGGAAUAUUGGGCAAUGGGCGCAAGCCUUACCCAGCAAUACCGCGUGAGUGAAGAAGGUCUUCGGAUUGUAAAGCUCUUUGAUCAGGGACGAACAGAUGACGGUACCUGAAGAACAAGCCCCGGCUAACUACGUGCCAGCAGCCGCGGUAAAACGUAGGGGGCGAGCGUUGUCCGGAAUGACUGGGCGUAAAGGGUGGGUAGGCGGCAUAAUAAGUUAGAAGUGAAAUACCCAGGGCUUAACUCGGGUGCUGCUGCUAAGACUGUUGAGCGUGAGUGCGGGAGAGGUUAAUGGAAUUCCUAGUGUAGCGGUGGAAUGCGUAGAUAUUAGGAGGAACACCAGAGGCGAAGGCGAUUAACUGGACCGUAACUGACGCUGAGGCACGAAAGUGUGGGUAGCAAACAGGAUUAGAUACCCGAGUAGUC